CUAGCCGUAAACGAUGGGUACUAGGUGUGGGUGGUUUCGAUACCAUCCGUGCCGUAGUUAACGCAUUAAGUACCCCGCCUGGGGAGUACGUGCGCAAGCAUGAAACUCAAAGGAAUUGACGGGGGCCCGCACAAGCGGUGGAGCAUGUGGUUUAAUUCGAAGCAACGCGAAGAACCUUACCAGGUCUUGACAUCACCUAGCAAGCCAUGGAAACAUGGCCCUCCUUCGGGACUGGGUGACAGGUGG
Molecule: ribosomal RNA, 246 nt
Filed under: uncultured bacterium
Lineage: Bacteria
Description: partial 16S ribosomal RNA
Rfam family: Bacterial small subunit ribosomal RNA
Source: RNAcentral